UGUCUUCUGCUAAGCCCUGCCUAUGCCAG
RNAcentral lists this unclassified non-coding RNA (29 nucleotides) under Mus musculus (house mouse). RNAcentral describes it as "oocyte_clustered_small_RNA7138". The record is from RNAcentral. Lineage: Eukaryota; Metazoa; Chordata; Mammalia; Rodentia; Muridae.